GACGAACGCUGGCGGCGUGCUUAACACAUGCAAGUCGAACGGAAACGCCCUGCUUUUUUGGGCUGCUCGAGUGGCGAACGGGUGAGUAACACGUGAGUAACCUGCUCUUGACUUUGGGAUAACUUCAGGUAACUGGGGCUACUACCGGAUAGGAGCUCCUGCUGCAUGGUGGGGGUUGGAUAGUUUCGGCGGUUGGGGAUGGACUCGCGGCUUAUCAGCUUGUUGGUGGGGUAGUGGCUUACCAAGGCUUUGACGGGUAGCCGACCUGGGAGGGUGACCGGGCACAUUGGGACUAAGGGACGGAGCAGACUCGUACGGGAGGCAGCAGUGGGGAAUAUUACACAAUGAGCGGGAGCCUGAGGCAGCAACGCCGGGUGCGGGAAGACGGCCUUCGGGUUGUGAACCGCUUUAGCCUGUGACGAAGCGUGAGUGACGGUAAUGGGUGAAGAAGCACCGGCUAACUACGUG
Molecule: ribosomal RNA, 468 nt
Filed under: uncultured bacterium
Lineage: Bacteria
Description: partial 16S ribosomal RNA
Rfam family: Bacterial small subunit ribosomal RNA
Source: RNAcentral